RNAcentral lists this ribosomal RNA (1695 nucleotides) under Salmonella enterica subsp. enterica serovar Berta. RNAcentral's name for it is "partial 23S ribosomal RNA". It matches the Rfam family "Bacterial large subunit ribosomal RNA", at positions 1261 to 2925 of the family's 2925-position model. Lineage: Bacteria; Pseudomonadati; Pseudomonadota; Gammaproteobacteria; Enterobacterales; Enterobacteriaceae. The record is from RNAcentral.
UCGUGAGGCAUGCUGGAGGUAUCAGAAGUGCGAAUGCUGACAUAAGUAACGAUAAAGCGGGUGAAAAGCCCGCUCGCCGGAAGACCAAGGGUUCCUGUCCAACGUUAAUCGGGGCAGGGUGAGUCGACCCCUAAGGCGAGGCCGAAAGGCGUAGUCGAUGGGAAACGGGUUAAUAUUCCCGUACUUGGUGUUACUGCGAAGGGGGGACGGAGAAGGCUAUGUUGGCCGGGCGACGGUUGUCCCGGUUUAAGCGUGUAGGUGUGUGUUCCAGGUAAAUCCGGUUCACUUUAACACUGAGGCGUGAUGACGAGGCACUACGGUGCUGAAGUAACAAAUGCCCUGCUUCCAGGAAAAGCCUCUAAGCAUCAGGUAACAUCAAAUCGUACCCCAAACCGACACAGGUGGUCAGGUAGAGAAUACCAAGGCGCUUGAGAGAACUCGGGUGAAGGAACUAGGCAAAAUGGUGCCGUAACUUCGGGAGAAGGCACGCUGACACGUAGGUGAAGUGAUUUACUCACGGAGCUGAAGUCAGUCGAAGAUACCAGCUGGCUGCAACUGUUUAUUAAAAACACAGCACUGUGCAAACACGAAAGUGGACGUAUACGGUGUGACGCCUGCCCGGUGCCGGAAGGUUAAUUGAUGGGGUCAGCGCAAGCGAAGCUCCUGAUCGAAGCCCCGGUAAACGGCGGCCGUAACUAUAACGGUCCUAAGGUAGCGAAAUUCCUUGUCGGGUAAGUUCCGACCUGCACGAAUGGCGUAAUGAUGGCCAGGCUGUCUCCACCCGAGACUCAGUGAAAUUGAACUCGCUGUGAAGAUGCAGUGUACCCGCGGCAAGACGGAAAGACCCCGUGAACCUUUACUAUAGCUUGACACUGAACAUUGAGCCUUGAUGUGUAGGAUAGGUGGGAGGCUUUGAAGUGUGGACGCCAGUCUGCAUGGAGCCGACCUUGAAAUACCACCCUUUAAUGUUUGAUGUUCUAACGUGGACCCGUUACCCGGGUUGCGGACAGUGUCUGGUGGGUAGUUUGACUGGGGCGGUCUCCUCCUAAAGAGUAACGGAGGAGCACGAAGGUUGGCUAAUCCUGGUCGGACAUCAGGAGGUUAGUGCAAUGGCAUAAGCCAGCUUGACUGCGAGCGUGACGGCGCGAGCAGGUGCGAAAGCAGGUCAUAGUGAUCCGGUGGUUCUGAAUGGAAGGGCCAUCGCUCAACGGAUAAAAGGUACUCCGGGGAUAACAGGCUGAUACCGCCCAAGAGUUCAUAUCGACGGCGGUGUUUGGCACCUCGAUGUCGGCUCAUCACAUCCUGGGGCUGAAGUAGGUCCCAAGGGUAUGGCUGUUCGCCAUUUAAAGUGGUACGCGAGCUGGGUUUAGAACGUCGUGAGACAGUUCGGUCCCUAUCUGCCGUGGGCGCUGGAGAACUGAGGGGGGCUGCUCCUAGUACGAGAGGACCGGAGUGGACGCAUCACUGGUGUUCGGGUUGUCAUGCCAAUGGCACUGCCCGGUAGCUAAAUGCGGAAGAGAUAAGUGCUGAAAGCAUCUAAGCACGAAACUUGCCCCGAGAUGAGUUCUCCCUGAGACUUUAGGUCUCCUGAAGGAACGUUGAAGACGACGACGUUGAUAGGCCGGGUGUGUAAGCGCAGCGAUGCGUUGAGCUAACCGGUACUAAUGAACCGUGAGGCUUAACCUUACAACGCCG